GAAUGGGGCUGGCUGAGCACCGUGGGUCGGCGAGGGCCCGCCAAGGAAGGAGCGACCGACCGAGCCAGGCGCCCUCCGCAGACCUCCGCGCAGCGGCCGCGGGCGCGAGGGGAGGGGUCUGGAGCUCCCUCCGGCUGCCUGUCCCGCACCGGAGCCCGUGGGGUGGGGAGGUGUGCAGCCUGUGACAGACAGGGGCUUAGAGAUGCAAACAGACUCAGGGAGAGAAACAGAAGCUGAUUCUGUGACAGAAGCAGAUCUGUGCAGCACAGAUGCGGUGUGCGUGGGGAGGGGGUCGCCUGGGAGCGCAUUGCGGAGUGCUUGUGUGUGCAGAUUUUUCUCUGGGCUCAGGACUCAUUGUAUGUGGGUCAACACCUUCCUCCGUGACUGUGUUUUUGUUCUGAGCUGAGUUUUUUGGUUUGCCCUUAAAAAAAUAAUAAUUUGGCAUCCAGAGACUGGCAGACUGCCUCAGGGCCUGGACUGCGGAUAUAUUGUGUUCUGCUUGAGGUUUGGGGAGGAGGGCAGGCGGUAGGAAGGGAGAGGGGGAGCUGUUUGUCACACUUUGCUGUAGAGCUGAGAGCACCUGACAAGCUUAAGGAAGUCGUUGGGCUAUGUGGACAAGAAGGAGCCAGCUCCCAGCGGGUUCACAAGCUCUAUCGGAGUUGAAAGCGUGGUCAUGGCUCUAAGGAGCACCUCACGCCCUCCCUGUAGCUGUUAUUGCAGUUUCAGGCAGAGAUCCAGGAGCUGCAGAGGAAGGGAGAGGCACAAUAACCUACAUGGACCCAAGGGAGACAUGUGUUCCUUUAAAAAUGUGAACAGAAGGAAAAACAGAAUGUGUGCAACUGGGGGUCUGAGGAAAGACUGUUUUGAAAGAGGCUGUCAGGGAAUGGAAAGGGUUAAGCUUUUCAUCCUGAAGAACCUGCUUCCCAAAUCAGGCCUUCCUCCCAUCACUAGACCCUGAGCAGCAGCUGGUCCUAGAGACCCCCCUCGUACUGCGCUGCCACAGUCUCAUCCCAUUUCCAGCUCUGUAUUAACCACCAAGCUGCAGCGGAUGGGGCAAGACCUAAGCUCAUUAAUUUCCAGGUGGAGGAAAUGGAGGAGGGGCAGGUCCCUGCAGUAGAGGGAGGAGCAGAGAAAGGAGGCCAAGAGCUGGAUCCUUCUGCCCAGGAAGCCUGCUGCAUCCCUUCCCCCGAGCAUGGCAGAGGCCUGGCUUUGCAAGGCCAAGGCCAUAAGGGAUGCUUAGGAGAUUAAUUUGAUUCCUGACACAAUAAUCAAGCCCUAAGAGUCUCCACUGAAGCUUACUGAGGACUUCUUUCCUCUCCAAAGCCUCAGUCUAGCCUGCUAAAUAAAUUAGUAUUCAGUGAUGCCUUGGAUCAGGGCCCCUCCCCGGCCUCAGUUUCCCCAAAUAUUUAUUAAGUACCUACUGUGUGCAAUCCUUGUGUAAUUAUUAACUCUUAGGCUCUUCAUUUGCCCUCCUAAAGCAGUGUUUAGAGUCAGGCAGAGGUUAAGUGUGUUGCACCUCACCUAGAUACUUCCAGAACCUUCUCUGGGUCUGCAGAAUGUGGCACAACCUGCUUGCCCCCGCAGAGAGAAAGCUGCAGUGCACAUCCUGCAGACUGCAGGUGCUGGGCUGCCUCUGGAGUCCCAGAAGGCAAGCUUGGCUGCAGGACAGAAAGGGAGAACAGCUUCUCUCACCCCUGAGCCUUCACAAGCCCUUGUCUAUUUGCCGUUGCCUUCAAAAUAUACCUCCCCCGAAACCAGUAGCUUUCUGAGUCCUGGUGUCCCCUCCGCCCUUUCUGGACAGGUUUGGGAAGAAGAAAGCAGUCAGUGCUGGGCCUUAUUGGGGUGUGAAGCGCCUUGCUCUGCCCCUUCUGCUCACUGUGAAGGCCGCUGGAUGCUUCUCUUAGGCAUGGUUUAAGCCUCCGAUUACUAAACCCCUUGCCCCACAAACGUCCACAUUGACGAGCCUCUUUUUAGUAACUGCUUCCCCGUAAUUCCUUCAGAGGUUGCUGUACCCUUCGCUGAUGUGCUGCCCUCCUGUAAAACCUCCAGAUGCCUUCCCACGUAAUGCCCCUUUCAGAUGCUUUAAGCUGAGAGCUUAAACCACAGGUACCAUGGCUGACGCCUGCCAGGUUUCUGCUGCAGAUAAUCUAUGAUGGGAGGGGCAUAUUUUUUACUUCAUUACUUAUGUAAACUCUUGUUCCAGAAAGCUUUAAUGUGUGUGGGAGUGUUCUGGGUCUAUUAGGUCUGUGCGCAUGGGUGUGGGCAUUUGCCUGUGUCCACCGGGUGGGUCUCAUUAUGAAAUGUAUGUUUAUGUAGGGCUUUAAUGGCUGAAAAUGGCAAAGAGAUGAAUAGACCACUUGGCCCCAUGUGUAAUUGCCAGGCCCCUUCUGUGCUCAAAUGAGGUGUCCGAGUGAAGGUCAGCCCUUCCCUUCUGUAUUUGGGGCCUAUUUAUGCCACCAGUAAUUUUAUAAGAAAUCUGAAUAGUUCUCCCCUUUGAGUGCAUUUAACUCUUUAGUAUCUUCUCUCUUACCUAUUUGAGCCCCUCUAGCUACAGUCUGGCUUAAAUGAAAGGGGAAUUAUAUGCUUAAGAAAAAGUAGGACACGGUUGAGGCAGUUUGCUGACUGAAUACGCGAAGAAGGACCUGAUGGGCUCAUAUGCACCACUGCCAUCACAGUCCCCAUCGUGAUGCAAGCUUAUAUGAUUCUUGAGGUAACUCUACCAGAUACUUCCAGAUUUAGAAAUGUGUCAAAGGAAAAAUUGGUGAUACUCUUCUUUCCCCUGCCAGAAACAGCCCAGAUCUCCUCUUAAGCGGAAAAGAGAUUGACCUUCUAGCAGAGGCAAAGGUAAACUCCUAAUGGAGUCUUCUGGGGGCAGCUGCAAAGCGUUCUCCCUAGGACAGAUGGAGCCUCCCUUUCCUCAUCUACUCUGUGGGUGGUUUCAGGGCCCACGAGUCAACAUGAGGAGUUGUGCUGGUGGUAUGUGUGUUGGAGGCUGGGCUGGCUGAUUCACAGUGACGAGGAUGUCAAUAAUAACAAGAAUGAGAAUGAUGGUACCUAAUAAAGA
Molecule: long non-coding RNA, 3064 nt
Filed under: Homo sapiens (human)
Lineage: Eukaryota; Metazoa; Chordata; Mammalia; Primates; Hominidae
Description: MIR124-1 host gene
Source: RNAcentral